RNAcentral lists this ribosomal RNA (484 nucleotides) under uncultured bacterium. RNAcentral's name for it is "partial 16S ribosomal RNA". It matches the Rfam family "Bacterial small subunit ribosomal RNA", at positions 30 to 507 of the family's 1533-position model. The record is from RNAcentral.
AUUGAACGCUGGCGGCAGGCCUAACACAUGCAAGUCGAGCGGAUGAAGGGAGCUUGCUCCUGGAUUCAGCGGCGGACGGGUGAGUAAUGCCUAGGAAUCUGCCUGGUAGUGGGGGAUAACGUCCGGAAACGGGCGCUAAUACCGCAUACGUCCUGAGGGAGAAAGUGGGGGAUCUUCGGACCUCACGCUAUCAGAUGAGCCUAGGUCGGAUUAGCUAGUUGGUGGGGUAAAGGCCUACCAAGGCGACGAUCCGUAACUGGUCUGAGAGGAUGAUCAGUCACACUGGAACUGAGACACGGUCCAGACUCCUACGGGAGGCAGCGGUGGGGAAUAUUGGACAAUGGGCGAAAGCCUGAUCCAGCCAUGCCGCGUGUGUGAAGAAGGUCUUCGGAUUGUAAAGCACUUUAAGUUGGGAGGAAGGGCAGUAAGUUAAUACCUUGCUGUUUUGACGUUACCAACAGAAUAAGCUCCGGCUAACUUCGUG